GGAAGUACUGCAUUGUUUAGAGCAAGUAACCUAUUUAAAUUUCAAUAUAUUCUACACGUUAACAUGCCACAUUUACAAAAAUAUGUUUAGUUCAUUUACUUUAUCCAGGAAUGUAUACAUAUACAUAAACAUACAUAUAUGUAUACACAUACACAUAUAUACACACAACAUAUAUUGAAGUGUUCGGAAAGUAAUAUUGUAUUUCAUUGUUAUGAAUUAUAAUCUACCAAUUAAGGAAUGAUUUCAUUCAAAUUGUAGAAAAUAUCUAGAUCCAGUUUAUCAUCUCUUCUAUCCAACAGCAGGGUCAAAGGACAAAAACACUUGUGGAGUAUAUCCUGAUGUAGUGAAGGCUUGUAAAUACCAGCUGUGGUUUUACAAGGUGAUUUGGAUCUUUCCAAUAAGCCCUGGAAGAUUAACCAGUUUGGAUUAUGAUCAUUUGAGAACGACAGCUGAAUCAGAUCCUUGUCAAAGGAGAUUUGGUGCAGACACACAAACAGGCAAACUAGUUUUGUCUUCUUCAUGAGCUCUCACUUGAGAACCGAACUCAUUGUUCUAUCACCUUCUCCAGUAGUCACUUGACUAGGGAUAAUGAUCACUGAUUUUUGCACCACAUUGUUACAGGCUGACAAAAAAUGGAUACAGCUUGUCAACAAGAAAACAAGUGGGUAUUGACAAAUGAGAAACUAGUACCAAGACCAAAUUCAGACUUCAUCCACAUAAGUCCUAGCUAAGUGUCUGACAGAACAUGAAUGGUGUAGUCCACUGGAAUGACCAUUACUGCAGACAUAUAUUGUUAGCAACUUCACUGUGUAAAUGAAGCCUUAUACUGAAAGUGGCCAGCUUUGGUUAGCAGAAAAGAUGUUAUUCUUCAGCAUGACAAUGCAAGAGCCCUCUGCAAAGUGUGCAGAGUCUUACUCCAGAUGUCAAAGAAAGGAACUUUUACUUCCUCUCCAAUCAUGAACAGUUUACAAAACCUUCAGAGCUGUUACAAAAUCUUAAGUCUCUCAAUCUCUGAUCUCUCAUGGUGACCUCUGUACACGAAACACUUCCAAAACUGCGUUAAAGAAACUAAGAUUGAUCUUCAGUACCAGGUUCUAAUCCAUUGUUCCACCAAGAUCAAAUAAAACUCAAACUGGAUCACGUAUACGGGAUAAUGCUACUGCUAGACAUGCAACCAUCCUGAACCACACCCAAAAGAAGACUAUUCAAUAAAUUGACUUAAGUUCAUUCCCUUAAGAUUCUUCAAACGAAGAGUUCAUCGACGUGCUCUGUUACUUCUCUCUGAUACUUCUAUCACUACUACAAUAGAUAAUACCCUUCCGAACCAGCCCUCUGUGUAUCCUUGCGAUCCAGGAGAACUUGUAUUUCGCCGUCUCAUCACGUUUAUCGUGUAUUACCUUACAGACUCCAUACUAAACACUCCGGUCAAGUCCUUCCCCACAGAACUCUAAUCCUCUAGAAUUCUUUCCUCACCCACGUUUUAUCUACGCAUAUCGAUCUAUAGACGUUUAAGCUGAAUGUCAACCGCAUCAGACAAACCAGUUUAGAGAAGGCUUGUAAAUGUCAUCCGUACCUUCCUCUUCUCUUAUGAACUAUAUACAUGUGUAUAAACACAGAAAGAUUAAACAACGAAAUGACACAAACACGCUCAUUCAAACGCACAUAUAUACGUGCAGACAUGCAUAGAUACAUAGAUACAUAGAUACAUAGAAACAUAGAUACAUAGAAACAUACAGACAUAGAAACACACACACACACACACACACACACACACACGCACACACACACACAUAUACAUACACAUAUACAUACAUAUAAGGACAUAAAAGACACAUAGAUACAUUACCGUAUACAUGAUAUGUAGGGUUAUGACUUUUUGAUUUUUUGGGAAGUAAACAAUUUUCUGUAUUAAAAAUCGAUGAGCAAUUUUAUAAGUAGGGAAAAUAGCCUUUAUUUUAAGUUUUUUUAAAAAAAAACGUCACCCCAAACUGAAGAAAUCUAACACCACUUUUAACCCAAAUCAUGCAAAAUUCUAAGGGGUUUCAUAAUGUCUACUCAGGUUUUUACCAAACUUGGAGUAUAUCUCAAAUUUCAGUUUCAAGUUUAAGUAGUUUAGGAGUUAUAGAGUUUUUAAUUUGUUACCACGUGGGCCCUACUUUAGGAAAUAUCCACUUCGUCUCCUUUUUAUUUCUGUGACGCUAAAACUCUCAUUAUAUUAACUGUUUUUCAGAAUAGUGGGCUUAUCCAAUUACAGUAUCUAAAAUAAUGUCUCAUAAGAGAAGUGCUUGUGUCACUCAAAUAAACAAAAAAAUCUGGACGAAGAAUCCAGAUUUCAGAACUUACAUAGGAAAAGAAGACGUGUUCCUCUAGAAAAGCAUUCUUUGGAAAACAACUGCAGGAUACUAAUGAAACUUCAAAUUGUCGGUCCCUUUUUGUUUCUUGAAGGUACCAUCAUGGAAGGAAAGAAAGAACAAAGGAGAUUUCGAAAGAAGUAAUCUUUUUGUGGCAAAAGAAAGUAAAUUUCCCAUAUUUAGAAAUUCAAAAUGUACAAGCAAAAGUAGAAAAAGUGCUGAAUACUUACGAUAAAUGUAUAAAACAAGGAAAAUACAAUUCAUUGAAAGGAAUUUUUGACAUCACAAAGGAAAACGGUGAAUGACUAAUUUCAACAAUGGUGAAGAAAAGAUUACUGAAUUAGCAGGAUGACGAGAUGACAUGAAAUUUUUAUUUCAUUUGACCAGAGCUUUCGUUUCUUUGAAGAAACCGACAAAUUUCCUACUGUAAAAUUUCAAAAAAUACCCAACUUAAGUAAUACAAGAUGGAAUUCUCGAGCAAUACUAGCUCUUUUGGCAUUUCUUCUACCAGGGAAAUGAGUUUUGUUUCUGAGCAGAGUUUUGGUUUACUGACCGAAUGUUCAAUGCACAUUAUUCUCAGAAGUUAUGUGGUAGCCUGCAAGUUCAUAAAAAAACAUUGAACUUUGUAAAAAGCUUUUGGAAUCGAAAACCACCAAAACUGGAAAUUCCCAGAACAAACCAGAGUGCAGAACGGGCACUCAAAUGGCUUCAAGAUCUUUAUGAUGUUUGUAGAAAGGUGAAACUUCAGCUUCGAUUAAUUUUUUCUAACAAAACAUAUUAAUUCUGUUAUGUUUAAAAAUUUGCUAACAUUCAGCACCCUUUUUCUUAUACAGUUAUUUAAAAUUGGAAUUAAACCUAUAAAGUUAAAAA
Octopus bimaculoides (California two-spot octopus) is the source of this 3221-nucleotide long non-coding RNA. Lineage: Eukaryota; Metazoa; Mollusca; Cephalopoda; Octopoda; Octopodidae. The record is from RefSeq and is a predicted model, not a curated record.